RNAcentral lists this ribosomal RNA (467 nucleotides) under uncultured bacterium. Its description in RNAcentral is "partial 16S ribosomal RNA". It matches the Rfam family "Bacterial small subunit ribosomal RNA", at positions 28 to 506 of the family's 1533-position model. The record is from RNAcentral.
GACGAACGCUGGCGGCGUGCUUAACACAUGCAAGUCGAACGGAAAGGCCCUGCUUUUGUGGGGUGCUCGAGUGGCGAACGGGUGAGUAACACGUGAGUAACCUGCCCUUGACUUUGGGAUAACUUCAGGAAACUGGGGCUAAUACCGGAUAGGAGCUCCUGCUGCAUGGUGGGGGUUGGAAAGUUUCGGCGGUUGGGGAUGGACUCGCGGCUUAUCAGCUUGUUGGUGGGGUAGUGGCUUACCAAGGCUUUGACGGGUAGCCGGCCUGAGAGGGUGACCGGCCACAUUGGGACUGAGAUACGGCCCAGACUCCUACGGGAGGCAGCAGUGGGGAAUAUUGCACAAUGGGCGGAAGCCUGAUGCAGCAACGCCGCGUGCGGGAUGACGGCCUUCGGGUUGUAAACCGCUUUCGCCUGUGACGAAGCGUGAGUGACGGUAAUGGGUAAAGAAACACCGGCUAACUACGU